CCUACGGGUGGCAGCAGUGGGGAAUAUUGCACAAUGGGGGAAACCCUGAUGCAGCGACGCCGCGUGAGUGAAGAAGUAUUUAGGUAUGUAAAGCUCUAUCAGCAGGGAAGAAAAUGACGGUACCUGAUGAAGAAGCCCCGGCUAACUACGUUCCAGCAGCCGCGGUUAUACGUAGGGGGCAAGCGUUAUCCGGAUUUACUGGGUGUAAAGGGAGCGGAGACGGCAGCGCAAGUGUGAAGUGAAAUGCCGGGGCUUAACCCCGGAACUGCUUUGGAAACUGGGCAGCUAGAGGGCAGGAAAGGUAAGUGGAAUUCCUAGUGUAGCGGUGAAAUGCGUAGAUAUUAGGAGGAACACCAGUGGCGAAGGCGGCUUACUGGACUGUAACUGACGUUGAGGCUCGAAAGCGUGGGGAGCAAACAGGAUUAGAUACCCGUGUAGUC
RNAcentral lists this ribosomal RNA (440 nucleotides) under uncultured bacterium. RNAcentral describes it as "partial 16S ribosomal RNA". It matches the Rfam family "Bacterial small subunit ribosomal RNA", at positions 338 to 795 of the family's 1533-position model. The record is from RNAcentral.